RNAcentral lists this long non-coding RNA (453 nucleotides) under Olea europaea subsp. europaea. Lineage: Eukaryota; Viridiplantae; Streptophyta; Magnoliopsida; Lamiales; Oleaceae. The record is from RNAcentral.
CUCAUCUUUAACCAUUUUCUUUUUGGCAAGCAUUUUGCAAGCUUCCUGCCUAAUCAAGUUUCCUGCGUGAUCGACUAUACCAAAAAGGUAACCUUCAUGUGAUAAAAAUAAAUUUAAAAUCUAUUUAUGAAUACUAUUAUGUUAAAAAGUUAUACAAAUGAUCUUCAAAUUUUUUGCAAUUCAAGCUUAAAUCUGUAGUGUCGAGUUCUCAUAGUUUAAGGUAGCACACUAAAAUCAUGUUUUACAGUACGACAUGCCCAUAUUAAAUUUUUUUUUUUUUUUACCUUAAGAAGACGCCGAAGUGUAGCACUCUGCGCAGCGCGGAGUGGGAAUGCCCACACUCCACUCUCCGCACUACGCGGAGUGCACUCCGCGAUAAAACUGAUCUUCGCCUUUAAAAAAUACUCUUCAACUAUAUUCUAAAUAGGAUCUCAUAUACACUGAUGAUCUGAG